Molecule: ribosomal RNA, 231 nt
Filed under: uncultured bacterium
Lineage: Bacteria
Description: partial 16S ribosomal RNA
Rfam family: Bacterial small subunit ribosomal RNA
Source: RNAcentral
AACGAACGUUGGCGGCGUGGAUUAGGCAUGCAAGUCGAACGCGAACGUCGGGCUUCGGCCUGACUAGUAGAGUGGCGAACGGGUGAGUAACGCGUGGGCAAUCUACCCUCGAGUGGGGAGUAACCAUUCCAACGAGUGGCUAAUUCCGCAUGUGCCCUCUCUGUCGCAUGGCGGAGCGGGCAAAGGUGGGGAGUCUUCGGACCUGCCGCUCGAGGAGGAGCCCGCGUCCCA